UAUGUACUUCUCUCCGUUCAAUAAAGGAUGUCUUAAUUUUGACUGAAUUUGAAUGCACCUAUUCACUAAGACAUGUCUAGAUACAUUCAAAUUUUAACAAACUUGAGACAUUUUUUGUUGGACGGAGGGAGUACAAC
Molecule: non-coding RNA, 137 nt
Organism: Brachypodium distachyon (stiff brome)
Lineage: Eukaryota; Viridiplantae; Streptophyta; Magnoliopsida; Poales; Poaceae
Source: Rfam